UACAGAGGUCCCAAGCGUUGUUCGGAUUCAUUGGGCGUAAAGGGUGCGUAGGUGGCGGGGAAAAGUCAGGUGUGAAAUCCCGGAGCUUAACUCCGGAACUGCAUUUGAUACUGCCUUGCUCGAGUACUGGAGAGGAGACUGGAAUUUACGGUGUAGCAGUGAAAUGCGUAGAGAUCGUAAGGAAGACCAGUGGCGAAGGCGAGUCUCUGGACAGUUCCUGACGCUGAGGCGCGAAGGCCAGGGGAGCAAACGGG
Molecule: ribosomal RNA, 254 nt
Filed under: uncultured bacterium
Lineage: Bacteria
Description: partial 16S ribosomal RNA
Rfam family: Bacterial small subunit ribosomal RNA
Source: RNAcentral